ACUUUCUUUCCAUGGCUCUACGUCAUGUCAGAUUUAUGUAUGGGCCUAACAGCAAGGUGUGUGAUUGUAAACCUGGAUUUCCCAUCACAAAAGGAUUUACCAUGCAGCAAAUAUGUCCAACUUACAGGGCUAACCAAAUGCAAAGGCCUUUUUAAUGUCCCUGACGGUGGCCUCGUGAGCUCACAUUGUCAUAUAUUUUUGCAAAAUCUGAAGAAGUGAGAUAUUUCUGCAUUACUUUUUCUUAAAGAGGAUCCUGCAUUCAAAUUGCAUAGUUCUAGGUUCAACAAAGCUUAGAUCUUCUCCUUUCGUCAUAUACUUUUAAGUUUCCUACUAUGUGACUAAGGGGUGAAAAAAUCUACAAAAGAAACUCCCGAAGGCAAGAAUAUGAGGCACACCUCUUUUAGGUCUUGUGUAAAAGGGGCAGAGGAAGAAAGGCUUGCAUUCUACUCGUUUUUAUCUUUCUGUUUGGUCUUUAUUGAGUGCCAGCCCCUUAAUGGAGGGCUGAUCCCUGUUUUUCACCCCUACACCUGCCCUGCCAAGGCCAUGAACUGUGGAUUGAGGUUUUACAUAGUGGAACGCAGGCACCAGGCAAAGAGAGAGGGAGAGAAGAGUUCACAGCAGGUAAGUCUGGUGUGGGUCACCUGCUACUCCAAUGGGAGGGUGUGCUGGAAACCGCGGUGCCAAGAGGGGAUAGCCGGGAUUUGCGGGUGGCUGUGCGUCCGAAGCGAGGAUGGAGCAGGAUCUGGGGAGAUAAGGAACCGUCCUGAGACAGAGAAGGCUCCCGGGAGCGGACAGAGAGUGGGCGCCCAGGGGAGCGGACGGAGAAUCGGUGCGCAGUCAGCGCGGCGCCGGCGUCCGCGCCGCACGGAGGACG
RNAcentral lists this long non-coding RNA (874 nucleotides) under Aotus nancymaae (Ma's night monkey). Its description in RNAcentral is "lncRNA (ENSANAG00000039174.1)". Lineage: Eukaryota; Metazoa; Chordata; Mammalia; Primates; Aotidae. The record is from RNAcentral.